AAACUAACCCUCUCUGCCGCGAUUCAUCAUAAAUCGUCAUCAUCUCCACCAUCAAACAUCUUCAAACCCCUUCAUCCGCCGGCGAAACCUCGGCUUUAACCGCCACGAGCUCAAGCUCGCCGCAACCCAUCAACAAACCUUCGUCUCACCGUCACUCGCCUCCUUCACCACCGCUCAACAACACAAAAACCGCUUCACAAUCCAAACGCGACCUGCAACCCUUUAACCCUAAACUACCGCCGUUCAACCUCACGAUCUCAAACCCCUGUCGUCGGAAUCGCGACCGUCAUCAACAACCUAACCUCACCAGAAUCCGCCGCCGCCACAACUCAAAGAGACAACAUGAGUUUCGUCUUCAACAAAACGACGAGACGUUGACAAAGCCUCGUCUCAUAUCAGUCGGUGUUUGCAACACAAAAAGCAUUCCUAAUUCGGUUGGUUUUCGCAUCUGUGGUUUAACUCUUUUCUUAUGGUGUUUACUGGUUGAUUCCUGUUAAAGCUUUGCUCAAACCCAGCUGUUUUCCUGAGGAUAUUUAAAUCAUGGAAUUAAUUUGUGUAUCUUCGAUUUUAAUUUCUCAUUUCCUUCUGUUUGCUAUUAAAAGUUCAAUAUCAGACUAUUAAAUUUCUGCAAAAAAUGUAUAUAUGGUUGAUACGUUUGACAGUUAGGUAGCCAAGGAAGUAAUGGUAAUCUGUUAUGGUUUUCCUUUGCAUUAUGUGGUCACUCUGCAUUCCAAUCGAAUUUUGUUUUGUGGUUUAGAUAUUUGAUUUGUGAACUUUUGGAGUUUCGAUUACAAGCAUGAAAUUACUAUUUGCGUUGUGUUGCGAUUACCACCGUUUUGUGAUAGCUGGUGUUUACUAUUGUUAUAUUUUGAAUUUUUACCCUGAUUGUGCACUUCAACAUACCGUCCAGUUUUGUGUUAAGAAUGGUGUGGUUGUAUUUGUUUAUUGUUAGACUUGUGAGUGUGGGUUUAUCAGUUUGUUUUAGGUCACAGCGAAUAAUUUCCUGCUGGCUGCUAUGCUGUUGUUGUUUAUUUCUUUUUUUUUGCAUGUCAGUCCCACAAUUUGGGUAACAAUUUGAUUUGGGUUUAUGUUGCUGUUAUACUCAUCGUUCCCUCAAUUCGAUUACAUUAUUCUGUGUUUAAAGAUUGGGAUUAUCACAUUGAAAAUUUUGAGUGGAUUACUGGACAUUUAUUUUCAGCUAAGUGCACCUGUUGAAUUCUUUUGGAUGUGAGCACCAUUACAGGUUGAUUAUUUGAUGUCCAAUACUUACAGGUUAUAGAAUAUUAUUUAGUUUUGUAAGUAGAUGGUGAGAUAUCAAGAGUAUCAUGCGUGCCUGCUAUAUUUCCUUUGAUAUUAUCUCAGUUCAUGGGAAGUGAAAAAAAAGGUCAAUCUUAUUUUAAGGAUAGUUGGUCAUAACUAAUAAAUUGAUUGUUUUGGUGUUGAUAGAUAAAAGUCAAGAAUUCAGAUCAUGGGCCUCUAAAUCAAUGUUAAUACCUAUUUUUCUCUUUGAACUUAAUUAAUUGUUUAAAAUAUUUAAUUAGUUUAAUUUUUAUUAAUUAAUUGUAAUUAACU
Molecule: long non-coding RNA, 1572 nt
Filed under: Lathyrus oleraceus (garden pea)
Lineage: Eukaryota; Viridiplantae; Streptophyta; Magnoliopsida; Fabales; Fabaceae
Description: Pisum sativum (pea) long non-coding RNA (PSAT_LNC036344)
Source: RNAcentral